GUGCCAGCAGCCGCGGUAAUACGUAGGGUGCAAGCGUUAAUCGGAAUUACUGGGCGUAAAGCGUGCGCAGGCGGUGAUGCAAGACAGAGGUGAAAUCCCCGGGCUCAACCUGGGAACUGCCUUUGUGACUGCAUGACUAGAGUACGGUAGAGGGGGAUGGAAUUCCGCGUGUAGCAGUGAAAUGCGUAGAUAUGCGGAGGAACACCGAUGGCGAAGGCAAUCCCCUGGACCUGUACUGACGCUCAUGCACGAAAGCGUGGGGAGCAAACAGGAUUAGAUACCCCCGUAGUCC
This 292-nucleotide ribosomal RNA is filed under the name uncultured bacterium. RNAcentral's name for it is "partial 16S ribosomal RNA". It matches the Rfam family "Bacterial small subunit ribosomal RNA", at positions 505 to 796 of the family's 1533-position model. The record is from RNAcentral.